GCGGAAAUAGCUCAGGGGUAGAGCGCCACCUUGCCAAGGUGGAUGUCGCGGGUUCAAUUCCCGUUUUCCGCUCUA
This 75-nucleotide transfer RNA is filed under the name Spirochaetaceae bacterium. RNAcentral describes it as "tRNA-Gly". It matches the Rfam family "tRNA". From Rfam's summary of the family: Transfer RNA (tRNA) molecules are approximately 80 nucleotides in length. The record is from RNAcentral. Lineage: Bacteria; Pseudomonadati; Spirochaetota; Spirochaetia; Spirochaetales; Spirochaetaceae.